RNAcentral lists this ribosomal RNA (897 nucleotides) under uncultured bacterium. RNAcentral's name for it is "bacterial SSU rRNA". It matches the Rfam family "Bacterial small subunit ribosomal RNA", at positions 56 to 944 of the family's 1533-position model. The record is from RNAcentral.
UGCAGUCGACGGUAACAGGUCCUCGGAUGCUGACGAGUGGCGAACGGGUGAGUAAUACAUCGGAACGUGCCCGAGAGUGGGGGAUAACGAGGCGAAAGCUUUGCUAAUACCGCAUACGAUCUCAGGAUGAAAGCAGGGGACCGCAAGGCCUUGCGCUCACGGAGCGGCCGAUGGCAGAUUAGGUAGUUGGUGGGAUAAAAGCUUACCAAGCCGACGAUCUGUAGCUGGUCUGAGAGGACGACCAGCCACACUGGGACUGAGACACGGCCCAGACUCCUACGGGAGGCAGCAGUGGGGAAUUUUGGACAAUGGGCGCAAGCCUGAUCCAGCCAUGCCGCGUGCAGGAUGAAGGCCUUCGGGUUGUAAACUGCUUUUGUACGGAACGAAAAGACUCCUUCUAAUAAAGGGGGUCCAUGACGGUACCGUAAGAAUAAGCACCGGCUAACUACGUGCCAGCAGCCGCGGUAAUACGUAGGGUGCGAGCGUUAAUCGGAAUUACUGGGCGUAAAGCGUGCGCAGGCGGUUAUAUAAGACAGAUGUGAAAUCCCCGGGCUCAACCUGGGAACUGCAUUUGUGACUGUAUAGCUAGAGUACGGCAGAGGGGGAUGGAAUUCCGCGUGUAGCAGUGAAAUGCGUAGAUAUGCGGAGGAACACCGAUGGCGAAGGCAAUCCCCUGGGCCUGUACUGACGCUCAUGCACGAAAGCGUGGGGGAGCAAACAGGAUUAGAUACCCUGGUAGUCCACGCCCCUAAACGAUGUCAACUGGGUUGUUGGGUCUUCACUGACUCAGUAAACGAAGCUAACGCGUGAAAGUUGACCGCCUGGGGGAGUACUGGCCGCAAGGUUGAAACUCCAAGGAAUUGACGGGGACCCCGCGCCAAGCGGUGGAUGAUGUGG